CUUGUUUUUCUCCAAUAUCUCA
This 22-nucleotide microRNA is filed under the name Oryza sativa (Asian cultivated rice). RNAcentral's name for it is "osa-miR2275d". The record is from miRBase by way of RNAcentral. Lineage: Eukaryota; Viridiplantae; Streptophyta; Magnoliopsida; Poales; Poaceae.